RNAcentral lists this ribosomal RNA (465 nucleotides) under uncultured bacterium. Its description in RNAcentral is "partial 16S ribosomal RNA". It matches the Rfam family "Bacterial small subunit ribosomal RNA", at positions 28 to 507 of the family's 1533-position model. The record is from RNAcentral.
GACGAACGCUGGCGGCGUGCUUAACACAUGCAAGUCGUACGGUAAGGCCCUUUCGGGGGUACACGAGUGGCGAACGGGUGAGUAACACGUGCGUAACCUGCCCACAACUUUGGGAUAACGCUAGGAAACUGGUGCUAAUACUGGAUAUGUGCUCCUGCUGCAUGGUGGGGGUUGGAAAGUUCCGGCGGUUGUGGGUGGACCCGCUGCGUAUCGGCUUGCUGGUGGGGUAGUGGGCUACCAAGGCGGCGACGGGUAGCCGGCCUGCGAGGGUGACCGGCCACAUUGGGACUGAGAGACGGCCCAGACUCCGACGGGAGGGAGCAGGGGGGAAUAUUGCACAAUGGGCGCAAGCCGGAUGCAGCAACGCCGCGUGCGGGAUGACGGCCUUCGGGUUGUAAACCGCUUUCAGCAGGGACGAAGCUUUUUGUGACGGUACCUGCAGAAGAAGCACCGGCUAACUACGUG